Rhododendron vialii is the source of this 1305-nucleotide RNA transcript. RefSeq lists it as uncharacterized. The transcript is spliced from 4 exons. NCBI's taxonomy places the organism in Eukaryota, Viridiplantae, Streptophyta, Magnoliopsida, Ericales, Ericaceae. The record is from RefSeq and is a predicted model, not a curated record.
UUGAAAUAAAUCUGAAAUGAGUUCAUAUUUGAUUGCUAAUAUAGAAUGACUGUGGUAAAUAGACUUCGCAGGUCAAACGUGAGAAGUCUUAAUUAACCUAAACUCGCGCUUUUAAAAUGCGACUUUACUUUGGCAUGUAGUAGAGCUUCAAAUCAGAGGCUUUUCAUCACCAUGGCUGCACCUCGCCGGCGAAGGGGAAAUCCAUGGCACUCAACGCCUAUCAUUUUCUACUUGGAUUCUUAAUUCUCCGUUUCCAAGCAUUUCCCCUGCGAAAUCCAUUGCAAAUCGUUCAAGCUUCUCCACUGUGUACCCAAUCAAGUCACGCGGCCAAACUGCUUUUGAUGGUGAGGUCGGUAGAAAAGAUCGAAAUAUUUGUUGGCCAUUUCCUUUGCUUGGUGAAAUCCAACAAAGAAUCAGAUGUGCUUCCUCCACUAUAUGUCCCUGAGUUCAGAUGGUGGGGUUGCCAAAACUGUCUCCAAAGAACUGAUGCUUCAGAUGAUGCAGCAGAGACAUUAGACUGGUUAUCAAUUGUAAACGUAAAUAGACUAAUUUCGAGUGCAUAAAUUUCUCAAUGGUUAAGCCAUGGCAUCACGCAACAUUGACAUCAAAUUUUUGCUUCCUCAUAUUGGCAGCAUCUGCUCGUACAAUUUGUGGAUCGAGAAAUUCUGAUUUCAACACUUCAAUGGAUGUAAUUGGUUCUGAAAUUUGCCCAUUGGCACAUGAUCACAUGAAAGAAAAGGUAGUCAAUGCCACGUCCAUCAUUAGACAAGAUUUGUUAUCAUCUGAAACUACAACAAUAUUGUGGUAAAUGAUGUUGAUGAGACAAUGAAAGAACCAAUUUCUUCUAAAAUGAAGGUCGCUCAAGUUAUCGAUGGAGAAUUCAAUAGAGGGGCAGAAGCGAUAAAUCUCAACUUGGAAAACAGUGGACAGGUAUGAGUUGGUUAUGAAAACUGUGGAAGUAGAGAAGUGUAUAAAGGUAUAUUAGAAUGUGUGAAUAACAGUUUCACUGAAUUAUUCCAAAAGGAGAAGGGUAUAGUUUCCAUAAUAGCUAAAUCAAGUGAACAAGUCAAGGACAUGAAGUGUCACCGGAAACCUGAGCCCGGGACUCUGGAAAAUGAGGUUGUUCGCUCUCUCAUUGGUUUUCAUACAAGCAAACAUAAUCCUUUGGAAUUCACUGCGAAUGAGGAUGACAAGGAUGCACAUGGUUUCUCAAGCCUGUAAUUUUCGUUUGUUGUAUUUGUAUAAUCUGAACGUAUAUGUGCAAUCUACAGUCUCUCUAUUUCAACUUGCAUGCUUUACACUUCA